RNAcentral lists this ribosomal RNA (478 nucleotides) under Daldorfia sp. 01105A. RNAcentral describes it as "partial large subunit ribosomal RNA". It matches the Rfam family "Archaeal large subunit ribosomal RNA", at positions 1922 to 2628 of the family's 2987-position model. Lineage: Eukaryota; Metazoa; Arthropoda; Malacostraca; Decapoda; Parthenopidae. The record is from RNAcentral.
UCUAUUAGGAGUUAUUAAUAGUCUGGCCUGCUCACUGACGAUUGUUUAAGAGCCGCGGUAUUUUGACCGUGCAAAGGUAGCAUAAUCAUUAGUUUUUUAAUUGAAAACUUGUAUGAAUGGUUAGACAAAAGAAUAACUGUCUUUAAUAUAAAAGUUGAAAUUAACUUUUAAGUGAAAAGGCUUAAAUAAUUCAGGGGGACGAUAAGACCCUAUAAAGCUUUAUAAUUUAUUUUAAUUUAAUUAAAUUAUAGUGUAUAAAAAUUUGAUUAAAAGAUAGUAUUUUGUUGGGGCGACAUAGGUAUAAUUUUUGUAACUGUUUAAAAUUAAUACAAUAAUAGAUGUAUAAAAUUUAAUUGAUCCUUUAUUAAGAUUAAAGAUUAAGUUACUUUAGGGAUAACAGCGUUAUUUCUUUUGAGAGUUCAUAUCGAAAAAGAAGUUUGCGACCUCGAUGUUGAAUUAAAUAUCUCUUCAGUGUAGC